AGGUACCCCCGUACACGCCGAUUCCUCCGCGCCAUCCGCACCCAUCUGACAGCUACACGCUACGUUUUGUCGGCC
This 75-nucleotide small RNA is filed under the name Xanthomonas campestris. RNAcentral describes it as "sX9 sRNA". It matches the Rfam family "Xanthomonas sRNA sX9". RNAcentral also lists the same sequence under 3 other names. The record is from RNAcentral. Lineage: Bacteria; Pseudomonadati; Pseudomonadota; Gammaproteobacteria; Lysobacterales; Lysobacteraceae.